This 450-nucleotide long non-coding RNA is filed under the name Chlamydomonas reinhardtii. RNAcentral's name for it is "long non-coding RNA (CREI_LNC001435)". The record is from RNAcentral. Lineage: Eukaryota; Viridiplantae; Chlorophyta; Chlorophyceae; Chlamydomonadales; Chlamydomonadaceae.
UGGCUUCCAGUCCUUCAGCGCCUUCAUGGCACGGUCCACCUCCAUUGCAGAUGGCUGCGGCCUUGGUUUGUCACAGAGAGCAGCCAUCUCUGCGAUGCUGAGGCCUGCACUGCUGCUGCUCGCCGGGGCCCCGUCGCCGCAGGUGCCGCUGCUCCUGGGUGCCUGCAGCCAGCCCCGCUUGGCGGGAGGAGGCUGCUGCCCGCCGUUCCCACCCCCCAUCAGCGUGUCUGCCGCUGCAUGCGCCAGCCCCAGCCCACCGGAGCCAGUGCCCACACCGCUGCUGCUCGCCGGGGCCCCGUCGCCGCAGGUGCCGCUGCUCCUGGGUGCCUGCAGCCGGCCCCGCUUGGCGGGAGGAGGCUGCUGCCCGCCGUUCCCACCCCCCAUCAGCGUGUCUGCCGCUGCAUGCACCAGCCCCAGCCCACCGGAGCCAGUGCCCACACCGCUGCUGCU